This 460-nucleotide ribosomal RNA is filed under the name uncultured bacterium. RNAcentral's name for it is "partial 16S ribosomal RNA". It matches the Rfam family "Bacterial small subunit ribosomal RNA", at positions 338 to 795 of the family's 1533-position model. The record is from RNAcentral.
CCUACGGUGAGCAGCAGUGAGGAAUAUUGGUCAAUGGGCGCGAGCCUGAACCAGCCAAGUAGCGUGAAGGAUGACUGCCCUACGGGUUGUAAACUUCUUUUAUAUAGGAAUAAAGUGAGGCACGUGUGCCUUUUUGUAUGUACUUUAUGAAUAAGGAUCGGCUAACUCCGGGCCAGCAGCCGCGGUAAUACGGAGGAGCCGAGCGUUAUCCGGAUUUAUUGGGGUUAAAGGGAGCGUAGUUGGGUUGUUAAGUCAGUUGUGAAAGUUUGCGGCUCAACCGUAAAAUUGCAAUUGAUACUGGCAGUCUUGAGUACAGUAGAGGUAGGCGGAAUUCGUGGUGUAGCGGUGAAAUGCUUAGAUAUCACGAAGAACUCUGAUUGCGAAGGCAGGUUACUAAACUGCCACUGACAUUGAGGCUCGAAGGUGUGGGUAUCAAACAGGAUUAGAUACCCCGGUAGUC